CCCUUAGAUGUUCUGGGCCGCACGCGCGCUACACUGAUUCAUGCAUCAAGUAUACAACCUUGGUCGAAAGGCUUGGGUAAUCUUUGAAACUGAAUCGUGCUGGGGAUUGGAGCUUGUAAUUAUUCUCCAUGAACGAGGAAUUCCCAGUAAGCGCGAGUCAUCAUCUCGCGUUGAUUACGUCCCUGCCCUUUGUACACACCGCCCGUCGCUACUACCGAUUGAAUGGUUUAGUGAGAUCCUCGGAUUGGCCAUCUCGGCGUGACUUCGGUUGUGCACGUGGUGGCCGAGAAGACGAUCAAACUUGAUCAUUUAGAGGAAGUAAAAGUCGUAACA
This 333-nucleotide ribosomal RNA is filed under the name uncultured eukaryote. RNAcentral describes it as "partial 18S ribosomal RNA". It matches the Rfam family "Eukaryotic small subunit ribosomal RNA", at positions 1470 to 1796 of the family's 1831-position model. The record is from RNAcentral.